GGGACUGAGAAAUACGGCGGCCAUCUUAAACCGGUCGUUCUCCUAGUUUCGUUGCAUAGCAGCAGAUAAGAUGUCAGAGCACUGUGGAGCAUUUUCCUGUUCUAAUCGGCGGACGAUCGCAAAUAGAGCCCGGAGGAUUAUUUUCACAAGUACUUUUUAACAUCGCGGUACUAUUGGUUGUAUUUUGUGAAUAGAAUAUUAACAGAAAAUUGAGAAAGAGCCAGCUUAUUGAUUUUACUGUACUGAAAUCGUAGCCAGCUAACGUUCGCUAGGCUAUGUUUACUGCACCAGCCGCUGUUCACCCUGCAAGGAGAGUGGGGUGCUGUGAGCUGCGUGAUCCGCCGAGCUUUAAAAAGCUAAGAUGUCAACAGGAACAGAGGAUGUUUUCCUUUGUAGGGAGGACAUUGAGGAGACUCGGUUUGGAAUCGACAACUAUCAGUCUGACUCGUUGUCACUGGUUGUGUCUGUGUUUUUAAAGAUAAGGCUCCACCAUGUUGCCAAACUCACAUCUCUUGAACUACAGAAAGGGAGCACGGGAAAGAAGCUCUGGAAAACAGUCCUCUUUCAGGGGUGUGUGUGUGUAUGUGUGCGUGCGUGCGUGCGCGCGCGUGUGUGGGGGGGUUUACAAAUCAUUUUAAAUUGUUUCUUCACCAUAUUAAAAAGUCUUAUUUUAUUGCAACUAUCUGUUUCUGCAUCUUUGUCAUAUUUAUAGUGUGUGAUUUAUAAAAUAUCUUAUGUCCUACACCA
This is a long non-coding RNA of Paramisgurnus dabryanus, 747 nucleotides long. RefSeq lists it as uncharacterized. Lineage: Eukaryota; Metazoa; Chordata; Actinopteri; Cypriniformes; Cobitidae. The record is from RefSeq and is a predicted model, not a curated record.